UCCGCUUCAGUCCUGGGCCAAUGGCGCAACAGAGCAGCAUUAUCAUACUGAUCCCCGGCUGACCAAUGGCGCGCGCCUCCCCGGCUCACAUGACGCCUUUCUGUGCGCUCCCUCUCCUCUCAGCGCUCAAUCCCGGCGAGUGCAGGCAUCACUGAAGACCUGACACCGGCGGAAUCGGACGUUCGCUGUCUUCAGCAGAAAUAACCAGGUGUUAUCUUAUGCAAACUUUUUUUAUCGCUAUCAAGACGAUGCCGGCCGUCCUUUUGAUGAGAAUGCCUCUUCUUCGCUGGAGGAACAGACUUUUUCCGUCUCCAAACGAGCAGAGAGGCGCAGGGGCGAGACAAUAACGCCCAGAAGUUAUUGAAAUGAAUCGUCAUGAAAGGAGCUGGCAUGAGAAAAAGCAGAAGAAACAGAUCAAGCAUUAGCAGCAUUAGCCGUCGCUGCAGAAAGAAAGGGAAGCAAUGAAGGAAAGACAAAGUGAUUGAAAAAAGAGGUAAGAGCGUUCUGUUCGCCCCUGGGUGUUACAUUGUCUCGUGUGUGUCUUUCCUCUGUUGCCCUUCAACAUGUUUGCCUGAGUCAGUUGUGUACCUGCGUGGGUUUGGUGUUUGCAUGUGAGUGUCUUUUUGUAAUAUGAUUGAAUGCAGCUUUGUUUGAUUGUGUCUGUGUGUGUGUCUUUGUGUGCGUGUGUGUCUUUGUGUGCGUGUGUGUGUGUUCCUGGCAUCGAGCCACAGCUGCCAGGUGAGGAACGACCAUCCUGCCUGAGUCACCUGCUACAUCCUUAACUUCUUUGUUGUCUUUCUUCCACCCACACUCAUGUCUCUGUUCUGAAGAAACCAACUGCCACUUUCAUUGAUAAAUAUCUUCAUUUUUACUCUGAGGAAGUUACAUACAGUUCUUCUUAACAGGCAUUGUCUACUCUUUUUUUUUUUAAUGGCUUAACAACAGAUUCCUAAUUUUGAUAAACAAAUGAAUUUAUUCUCAAAAUGUAUGUACCAAUCGAUGUUCAGGAACCAAUUUACACUCAAACCCCUUAAAUUCACCUGAGAAGUGUCAGAAAUUAUACCUACAAUACCACUUUUUGUUGUAUUUCACUGAUACUUUUUUAAUUUGUGCUUUAUAUCAGUCCAAAGUUAAGCAAAAUGUGUUAAUACGGAAAUAGCUUCAUCUGUAUUGAUCCUAUUGAACCUAAAUCCUCAUCGUGACAGCAUAUCACUGCUUAAAACUCCACCUGUGUUAUUUAAUGAUGUUAAUCCCAUGUUCCUGUUUCAUGUCAAAACUAGAAAACCCAUCUCCUGUUUAAGGUUGGGAUCUUUUCUCUCCAGCAUCCAUUAGAAUAUGAAAAAAAAAAUCCAACAAUUUUUGGCAAUGCAGGGAGUUAAAAAUAUAACCAUUACCUCUGAGGAGAGCAACGCCAAAAGGCAAAACACAGGAGUUAAAACUGGGAACAGAGCCACCUUAUUGUCUCGGCUGAGUUUGAGCGGGUUCCCAAAGUGAGCGGUCUCUUAGAGAGUCUCUCUCUCUCUCUGUGUGAGCCUGAGAGCAGCGCUUAAUCAUUUUCCACCACACAGGCACGGCCAGAAUGGCUGCCACAGUACACAGAUAGGAGGGACGGUUUAAGAAGAGAAGCAGUGAGAGGAGAAGAAAUUGUUUUUUUCCUCAGUUCUCAUCAGACUCCAUUCUUACGAGACUCUCUUUAACCUCUUCAUCCCACCCAGAGGUUAAUUAGUAAUGAUUUGAAUUUUUCCAGGAUUUCUCACAUUUAGACAUAGAGUAUUCUUUGCAGUUCGUACAAAUCUUUUACCGUCUGAUUCUGUUUUUUUUUACUUUUUUAGUUUUAUCAUAAAAUGGGAAUAUCUAAGUCAGUUUUUUUAUUUUCUUUGGUGAAUGAAUCUGUAACUCUUCUCCUUUUCCAUCUCUCUCCAACUCCCCGAGCAAAACUCACAAAGCGACCUCCACCUCACAUUAACUUGGCAGAAGACAGCACAAAUUCAAUUCAGCUCAUUUCAGUUCGCCUCAACUCACUUCAUAACAACCCAGUCGAACUCAAUUCUCUCUCCAAGCUCUCCCUCUUGUCUCGUACUCUCACUCAUUUAUUUUCAGUCCAACUGAGUCGUGCAAUCUUCUGUCUUUUCUCACAUUUUCAAAUCCCUUCAGUUCUUUCUCUCUUGUGCAGCCUCUAAGAAUACUCACAUUUCAGUUACAAGGCCCAAUCUUUACAGCGUACAUCCAUCCAAAAAAUAAAGGGCACGCCACCUUUUUAUUUAAAAAAAAACCAGGAAGAGAUGAUAAUGAAGAAGAUUAUGAUGGUUGUUUGAGUGUAGAGUAAUGGUUUUGGAGAAUGUGAAACUAUCCUCCAAGGAGCAGUCAAGUGCAAAUGAUAAUCUAUUUUUAGAAUUCCUCACAUUUCAACUCCAUGCUCAAAUCAUCCCAAUUGGACAAGGAGAUGUUGUUUUAUAAAGGAAAUGGUUUUGAACUCCUUUGAAGAAGAAUUUUGUUUUGUUUUUUUAUUUCAUCACUCUGAUGAUGGAUGUGCCAUACAUCAACCAACUGGGACUGCUGGAGUCACACGUUGUACAACUACACACAACUCCGUUGUUUUGGCCCUGGUGAAAUGAUGCAAGUGAAGUCUGGGGUAGAAAGAAAAGGGAAAAAGGUGGAGGAUGUUGUAAGCACGUAUCCAGACAUGCCACUUCUCUUUCUUCUCUCCUCCCUUUUUUUUUUUUUCUUCCUCCCAAGUGUGUCUGUCCUCGGCUGUGGAGGAAGACUCUCUUUCAGGAGCAGCCAAGUCUGUCUAAGCUGGACUUAAAAAGCGACCAGGCUCAAGGGGUGGUUCUCUUUUUGGUGUCCAUUUGUGUAUAUGGAGGCGGGGAGUUGCAAGGCUGAAGCCACAGUGUCACAUGGUUUCAUAUUUCAAGAAGCGUGUUUAAGAAAAUGACAGGCAAAUGAGUCACUCCGUCAAGUCGUAUUGAUUCACUGCAGGACUCUGGGACAAGGCGAGUAAUUGUCAGUUUCACGCUCACGCUAAAUAACAGGCAGCUGAUGGACGAUGGAUUCCAAUGAUGGGGUAUAAUCAGCCGGGGAACGGGCAUAAAAGCCUGAUGGACAAGUGCCGAAAAUGGUAACAUUGGUGUCCCCACAAAGGAAGGCCUAGACAACGAGUGCCCCCCCCCCCUCCUCCUCCUCCUUCAGCAAAGACACCCAUCAACCAGCAGAGGAUUAAAGAUCAGGACGAGAGCUUUUAUUGAGUUUAAAGCCACAAUGAGAGUGUGAUAAGGAUGAGGGGCAGAGGUAGGACAUUAAAACAGACAGGACAGAAUAUCAAAGAGUGCGGGAAUCAACAAGAAAGAAAAAAUGGAUGCUGGUUGGUGAGGAUUUCAAAGUGAGUAUUAUCUGUGAGAGAGGGAACCAAAAAGGGGAGCGAGAGA
This is a long non-coding RNA of Labrus mixtus (cuckoo wrasse), 3425 nucleotides long. RefSeq lists it as uncharacterized. The record is from RefSeq and is a predicted model, not a curated record. Lineage: Eukaryota; Metazoa; Chordata; Actinopteri; Labriformes; Labridae. The transcript has 2 exons.